GACGAACGCUGGCGGCGUGCUUAACACAUGCAAGUCGAACGGAAAGGCCCUGCUUUUGUGGGGUGCUCGAGUGGCGAACGGGUGAGUAACACGUGAGUAACCUGCCCUUGACUUUGGGAUAACUUCAGGAAACUGGGGCUAAUACCGGAUAGGAGCUCCUGCUGCAUGGUGGGGGUUGGAAAGUUUCGGCGGUUGGGGAUGGACUCGCGGCUUAUCAGCUUGUUGGUGGGGUGGUGGCUUACCAAGGCUUUGACGGGUAGCCGGCCUGAGAGGGUGACCGGCCACAUUGGGACUGAGGUACGGCCCAGACUCCUACGGGAGGCAGCAGUGGGGAAUAUUGCCCAAUGGGCGGAAGCCUGAUGCAGCAACGCCGCGUGCGGGAUGACGGCCUUCGGGUUGUAAACCGCUUUCGCCUGUGACGAAGCGUGAGUGACGGUAAUGGGUAAAGAAGCACCGGCUAACUACGUG
Molecule: ribosomal RNA, 468 nt
Filed under: uncultured bacterium
Lineage: Bacteria
Description: partial 16S ribosomal RNA
Rfam family: Bacterial small subunit ribosomal RNA
Source: RNAcentral